Molecule: ribosomal RNA, 1011 nt
Filed under: Mucor circinelloides
Lineage: Eukaryota; Fungi; Mucoromycota; Mucoromycetes; Mucorales; Mucoraceae
Description: partial large subunit ribosomal RNA
Rfam family: Eukaryotic large subunit ribosomal RNA
Source: RNAcentral
GCAUAUCAAUAAGCGGAGGAAAGAAAUAACAAUGAUUUCCCUAGUAACGGCGAGUGAAGAGGAAAGAGCUCAAAGUUGGAAACUGUUUGGCUUAGCUAAACCGUAUUGUAAACUGUAGAAACAUUUUCCUGGCACGCCGGAUUAAUAAGUCCUUUGGAACAAGGCAUCAUGGAGGGUGAGAAUCCCGUCUUUGAUCCGAGUAGUUGUCUUUUGUGAUAUGUUUUCAAAGAGUCAGGUUGUUUGGGAAUGCAGCCUAAAUUGGGUGGUAAAUCUCACCUAAAGCUAAAUAUUUGCGAGAGACCGAUAGCGAACAAGUACCGUGAGGGAAAGAUGAAAAGAACUUUGAAAAGAGAGUUAAACAGUAUGUGAAAUUGUUAAAAGGGAACCGUUUGGAGCCAGACUGGUUUGACUGUAAUCAACCUAGAAUUCGUUCUGGGUGCACUUGCAGUCUAUACCUGCCAACAACAGUUUGAUUUGGAGGAAAAAAUUAGUAGGAAUGUAGCCUCUCGAGGUGUUAUAGCCUACUAUCAUACUCUGGAUUGGACUGAGGAACGCAGCGAAUGCCUUUAGGCGAGAUUGCUGGGUGCUUUCGCUAAUAAAUGUUAGAAUUUCUGCUUCGGGUGGUGCUAAUGUUUAAAGGAGGAACACAUCUAGUAUAUUUUUUAUUCGCUUAGGUUGUUGGCUUAAUGACUCUAAAUGACCCGUCUUGAAACACGGACCAAGGAGUCCACCAUAAGUGCAAGUAUUUGAGUGACAAACUCAUAUGCGUAAGGAAACUGAUUGAUACGAAAUCUUUUGAUGGCAGUAUCACCCGGCGUUGACGUUUUAUACUGAACUGACCGAGGUAAAGCACUUAUGAUGGGACCCGAAAGAUGGUGAACUAUGCCUGAAUAGGGUGAAGCCAGAGGAAAACUCUGGUGGAGGCUCGUAGCGAUUCUGACGUGCAAAUCGAUCGUCAAAUUUGGGUAUAGGGGCGAAAGACUAAUCGAACCAUCUAGUAGCUGGUUCUGC